UACAGAGGGGGCAAGCGUUAUUCGGAAUUAUUGGGCGUAAAGGGCGCGUAGGCGGCUUGGCAAGUGGAAGGUGAAAUCCCUCGGCUCAACUGAGGAACUGCCUUUGAAACUGUCUGGCUUGAGGCCGGGAGAGGGUAGCGGAAUUCCCAGUGUAGCGGUGAAAUGCGUAGAUACUGGGAGGAACACCGGUGGCGAAGGCGGCUACCUGGACCGGUUCUGACGCUGAUGCGCGAAAGCGUGGGUAGCAAACAGG
Molecule: ribosomal RNA, 253 nt
Filed under: uncultured bacterium
Lineage: Bacteria
Description: partial 16S ribosomal RNA
Rfam family: Bacterial small subunit ribosomal RNA
Source: RNAcentral